Molecule: non-coding RNA, 946 nt
Organism: Tetranychus urticae (two-spotted spider mite)
Lineage: Eukaryota; Metazoa; Arthropoda; Arachnida; Trombidiformes; Tetranychidae
Source: RefSeq, a predicted model, not a curated record
UCACUAAUUUUGCAUUUUAAAAUUGACUUCUCUCACAGUUGUGUCUGGUUUAUAAAUUGAUUAAUUAAUUUGUUUAAAUAAUUAUGGUGAAAAUAAUUAUAUUUUGAUGAAUCUAACAAUCUAUCUUGGUUAUUCCGAAAGAAACAAUUAAAUUGUCUCAGUAAUUCACAGUUUGCUUUCUUUCUGGUUUCAAUGCCUCCUCCUUUUGUUUUACCCUUGAAAAAAGCCACAUUUUAAUGUAGGUUAAUGACAUUGCAGUUCAUCAAUUAGGAUUGUUCAUCAAUUUUAAUGUCAACCAAAUGAUUGUAACUUGAUCUUUACAAUGGUGAUAAACUCUUCCACCAACAUAGAAUAAUCAUCAUGUACUCUAAUUGAUUUUCUUGAUAAAAGGAUUGCCUGAACAACGUUAAUUGAGGCAAAAAGAUUGGCCAAGCAAAGAAAAAUGAUUAUUUGGAGAGCAAAAAAAAGUUAUUGAAAAGAAGCAUUAAGCUUAUAAACUAGACUUGAUCAGUAUUUAAAAGGAACGUGUAAAGGAUGAAAAACAGAUGAAGUAAAAGAGGAUAUAUCGUAAAUCGAAGGCAAAACCAGAGGAAAACAAAGGCUACCAAAAGAGAGUUACUAAGAAGGGAAGAAAAUUCAAGAGGAGGAAUACGAAUAGAAGUGAAGUCUUCUGAAUUUUUGUCAUGCAAUAAUUUGAUGCAGUAUAAAAUUCAUUGUUACAUGGUUAGCUGGAUGAAUUGAUUAUAGCAGUUGUACCAGUUGUUUGCUUAUGUUCAAUUGUUGACAGAAAACAGAUCAUCAUUAUCAACAUCAACAAGCAACUAUUUACAGGAGAGGAGAGAAAAGGAGAGAAAGUCAAAGGAAAAACAAUAUCAUCAUUUGAAAUUGAAUUGAUUACCCUGAAGAAGUAUUAAUCUAAGGAUAGCUUAAUUAGAGUAAACAAUUU